Molecule: transfer RNA, 72 nt
Filed under: Cucumis melo (muskmelon)
Lineage: Eukaryota; Viridiplantae; Streptophyta; Magnoliopsida; Cucurbitales; Cucurbitaceae
Also listed under: 1 other name
Rfam family: tRNA
About the family: Transfer RNA (tRNA) molecules are approximately 80 nucleotides in length. Their secondary structure includes four short double-helical elements and three loops (D, anti-codon, and T loops).
Source: Rfam by way of RNAcentral
GUGCUCUUAUCAGUUCGGUAGAACGUGGGUCUCCAAAACCCGAUGUCGUAGGUUCAAAUCCUACAGAGCUCC